Molecule: non-coding RNA, 1385 nt
Organism: Podarcis muralis (Common wall lizard)
Lineage: Eukaryota; Metazoa; Chordata; Lepidosauria; Squamata; Lacertidae
Source: RefSeq, a predicted model, not a curated record
GAGAAGGCGGGAAGCUUCCUCAUUCGUUUCCCGCUUGGGAGAGAACGAGGGAAGCGCGCGAGGAGGAUGGGGAAAGGCGCGUGCUCGCUGGGGGGGGGCGGGGGCGCGCGGUUUUUUGGCGCGAAGCAAAGCGCGGGAGAAAAGGCGCGAAGGCUCAUUUCGCUUUUAUUCCCUGAGGAGAAGCUUUCGCUCAUUCAUCUAACCUGAAGGAGAGGUGUCUGGGCUCAAAGCCCGUCGCAGCUCUUCUCUCGCAUGCCUCAAGUACUAAGGUUGAAAUAAUGGCACCAUUGGUGCAGACUACACUGAUCCGAAGCCAAUCUCUGUCCGUGGCUGAAGCACCCUGCAAGGACUGGAUGAUAAGCAGGUUUGAAGAAUACUUAUGAAGAACAUGGGCAUUAAGGCAGCUGAUGGACUUAUUCUGUAGGAGUGUCCGCUGGCGCUGUGUGUACCCUGAAUUACAAUGUGAGUUGGGCUGAUUCAUGGAAGGUUCUCCACCCCCUCCCCUCCCCAACGCUGUCAGCUUGGUCUCAUUUCUCUGGAAAAACUUUCCCGAAGACUCUCUGCCUGGGAAAGAAAAUCACAUCCCCAUGGCUCCAUUUUAGAAAAGUCUACAGCCCUGCUUGGGAACCUCUGGCCCUCCAGAUAUUUUUGGAAUCCCAUCAUCCCUGAGCUCUGACAACACUGGCUGGGGUUGAUGGGUGUUAGAGUUCAACAACUUAAAUUUAAAAAAUGCUCAAAAUGUGCAAUAUAGCCUUGAAUUCUGCCUCCAUCCUUACAUCCCACUUUCCUUCUAUCUUUCUUCCUGUACUGCUUUUGUUAGUGACUGAUGAUGAGAGAAUUAUUUCUUCACCCCGUUACAUUCACAAUGCCAGAACGUCAGGUGUUUGGCCAUGAUGUGUCGUCUGCUUCCUCUUGCAUUCUAAUGGGCAUUACAAGGAAAAUGAAUGUUGGCAGCUCUUCAGGGAUGCUUGAUUAACUCAGAAAGCCAUAGUUUCCACACAGUGCAAUCUCUAUAAAGAGAAUUAUCUGCCUUUCUUUCAUUCAUACUUUGGUCUCUUAAUCAAACUAUGCAAACUAAAGAAACAAAAGGAGACGUUGAUCCAUUAACAAAAUGCCAGCACUGCAGUCAUUGCCAUAAUCUGAUUCCAAACAGUUGCACUUUUCCAAGGGCGCAAACACACAUUUCUAAUUACUACUAGGUGACUCUUUCCUGCAUGAAGAUUAUCUCCAGUUAGGAAAACUUUUGCACAGCUUCACAUGCAAUCAAGCUGGCACCCAGGAAUUUUGGACAGAGAGGGCUUAUGUGAAGGACAUGCAAUAUACAAAUGUGACACUAGAUGGUGACAGUGAGCUAUGACAAAUUCAAUGCAUUUUUCAAAACUUUU